RNAcentral lists this ribosomal RNA (1486 nucleotides) under Mycoplasma amphoriforme A39. RNAcentral describes it as "16S ribosomal RNA". It matches the Rfam family "Bacterial small subunit ribosomal RNA". Lineage: Bacteria; Bacillati; Mycoplasmatota; Mollicutes; Mycoplasmatales; Mycoplasmataceae. The record is from RNAcentral.
AACGCUGGCGGCAUGCCUAAUACAUGCAAGUCGAUCGGGUGCAGCAAUGCAUCAGAGGCGAACGGGUGAGUAACACGUAUCCAAUUUACCCCAUAGCGAGGGAUAACUAGUCGAAAGAUUAGCUAAUACCGCAUAACGAUUAAAAUAUCGCAUGAGAAUUAAUUUAAAGAUCCGUUUGGAUUACUAUGGGAUAAGGGUGCGGCAUAUCAGCUAGUUGGUGAGGUAACGGCCCACCAAGGCAAUGACGUGUAGUUAUGCUGAGAGGUAGAAUAACCACAAUGGAACUGAGACACGGUCCAUACUCCUACGGGAGGCAGCAGUAGGGAAUUUUUCACAAUGGACGAAAGUCUGAUGGAGCAAUGCCGCGUGAACGAUGAAGGUCUUUGUAGAUUGUAAAGUUCUUUUAUUUAGGAAGAAAAGCUAGUAAAGGAAAUGUUAUUAGUUUGACCGUACUAUUUGAAUAAGUAACGACUAACUAUGUGCCAGCAGUCGCGGUAAUACAUAGGUUGCAAGCGUUAUCCGGAUUUAUUGGGCGUAAAACAAGCGCAGGCGGAUUAGAAAGUCUGGUGUUAAAAUCAACUGCUUAACGGUUGAAUGCAUUGGAAACUUCUAGUCUAGAGUGUGGUAGAGAGUUCUGGAACUCCAUGUGGAGCGGUGGAAUGCGUAGAUAUAUGGAAGAACACCAGCUGCGAAGGCGAGAACUUAGGCCAUUACUGACGCUUAGGCUUGAAAGUGUGGGGAGCAAAUAGGAUUAGAUACCCUAGUAGUCCACACCGUAAACGAUGGAUGUUAAACGUCGGGGCGAUCACCUCGGUGUUGCAGUUAACACAUUAAACAUCCUGCCUGGGUAGUACAUUCGCAAGAAUGAAACUCAAACGGAAUUGACGGGGACCCGCACAAGUGGUGGAGCAUGUUGCUUAAUUCGACGGUACACGAAAAACCUUACCUAGACUUGACAUCCUUGGCAAAACUAUAGAAAUAUAGUCGAGGUUAACCGAGAGACAGGUGGUGCAUGGUUGUCGUCAGCUCGUGUCGUGAGAUGUUGGGUUAAGUCCCGCAACGAGCGCAACCCUUAUCGUUAGUUACUUUGUCUAACGAGACUGCCAACGCAAGUUGGAGGAAGGUGGGGAUGACGUCAAAUCAUCAUGCCCCUUAUGUCUAGGGCUGCAAACGUGCUACAAUGGCCAAUACAAACAGUUACCAAACCGUAAGGUGGAGUUAAUCUGCAAAGUUGGUCUCAGUUCGGAUUGAGGGCUGCAAUUCGCCCUCAUGAAGUCGGAAUCACUAGUAAUCGCGAAUCAGCUAUGUCGCGGUGAAUACGUUCUCGGGUCUUGUACACACCGCCCGUCAAACUACGAGAGUUGAUAGUGUCUAAAACCGUGUUGCUAACCGCAAGGAAGCGCAUGUCUAGGACAAGAUUAAUGAUUGGAGUUAAGUCGUAACAAGGUACCCCUACGAGAACGUGGGGGUGGAUCACCUCCUUUCU